GAUGAACGCUGGCGGCGUGCCUAAUACAUGCAAGUAGAACGCUGGAGCUUGGUGCUUGCACCGAGCGGAUGAGUUGCGAACGGGUGAGUAACGCGUAGGUAACCUGCCUGGUAGCGGGGGAUAACUAUUGGAAACGAUAGCUAAUACCGCAUGACAACAGUUAUUGCAUGAUAACUGUUUAAAAGGGGCAAUUGCUCCACUACCAGAUGGACCUGCGUUGUAUUAGCUAGUUGGUGAGGUAACGGCUCACCAAGGCGACGAUACAUAGCCGACCUGAGAGGGUGAUCGGCCACACUGGGACUGAGACACGGCCCAGACUCCUACGGGAGGCAGCAGUAGGGAAUCUUCGGCAAUGGACGGAAGUCUGACCGAGCAACGCCGCGUGAGUGAAGAAGGUUUUCGGAUCGUAAAGCUCUGUUGUAAGAGAAGAACGAGUGUGAGAGUGGAAAGUUCACACUG
Molecule: ribosomal RNA, 459 nt
Filed under: Streptococcus sp. oral taxon 074
Lineage: Bacteria; Bacillati; Bacillota; Bacilli; Lactobacillales; Streptococcaceae
Description: bacterial SSU rRNA
Rfam family: Bacterial small subunit ribosomal RNA
Source: RNAcentral